This 255-nucleotide ribosomal RNA is filed under the name uncultured bacterium. RNAcentral's name for it is "partial 16S ribosomal RNA". It matches the Rfam family "Bacterial small subunit ribosomal RNA", at positions 524 to 776 of the family's 1533-position model. The record is from RNAcentral.
UACGGAGGGUGCAAGCGUUAUCCGGAUUUACUGGGUUUAAAGGGUGCGUAGGUGGGUAGGUAAGUCAGUGGUGAAAUCUUCAAGCUUAACUUGGAAACUGCCAUUGAUACUAUUUAUCUUGAAUACUUUGGAGGUAAGCGGAAUAUGUCAUGUAGCGGUGAAAUGCUUAGAUAUGACAUAGAACACCAAUUGCGAAGGCAGCUUACUACACAGUAAUUGACACUGAGGCACGAAAAGCGUGGGGGAUCAAACAGG